RNAcentral lists this transfer RNA (114 nucleotides) under Aminobacter ciceronei. RNAcentral describes it as "tRNA-OTHER". It matches the Rfam family "tRNA". Rfam says of the family: Transfer RNA (tRNA) molecules are approximately 80 nucleotides in length. Their secondary structure includes four short double-helical elements and three loops (D, anti-codon, and T loops). RNAcentral also lists the same sequence under 1 other name. The record is from RNAcentral. Lineage: Bacteria; Pseudomonadati; Pseudomonadota; Alphaproteobacteria; Hyphomicrobiales; Phyllobacteriaceae.
CGCGACGUAGCUCAGCCGGAUAGAGCCCCCGUUUUCGACAGAUGGAUGUGGUCUUGGCGGACCCAUCUAUUAUGGGCGGGGAGGUCGCAGGUUCAAGUCCUGCCGUCGCACCCA